This 1298-nucleotide ribosomal RNA is filed under the name Melghiribacillus thermohalophilus. Its description in RNAcentral is "partial 23S ribosomal RNA". It matches the Rfam family "Bacterial large subunit ribosomal RNA", at positions 1627 to 2925 of the family's 2925-position model. Lineage: Bacteria; Bacillati; Bacillota; Bacilli; Caryophanales; Bacillaceae. The record is from RNAcentral.
GAGGACAGAUGGUGCCCGUACCGCAAACCGACACAGGUAGGCGAGGAGAGAAUCCUAAGGUGAGCGGGAGAACCCUCGUUAAGGAACUCGGCAAAAUGACCCCGUAACUUCGGGAGAAGGGGUGCUCAUUCAGGUGCAAGCCUGGAGGAGCCGCAGUGAAAAGGCCCAAGCGACUGUUUAUCAAAAACACAGGUCUCUGCGAAGCCGAAAGGCGAAGUAUAGGGGCUGACACCUGCCCGGUGCUGGAAGGUUAAGGGGAUGAGUUAGCCCUUCGGGCGAAGCUUUGAACCGAAGCCCCAGUAAACGGCGGCCGUAACUAUAACGGUCCUAAGGUAGCGAAAUUCCUUGUCGGGUAAGUUCCGACCCGCACGAAAGGUGUAACGACUUGGGCACUGUCUCAACGAGGGACCCGGUGAAAUUAUACUAUGCGUGAAGAUGCGCAUUACCCGCGACAGGACGGAAAGACCCCGUGGAGCUUUACUGUAGCCUGAUAUUGAAUGUUGGUACAGCUUGUACAGGAUAGGUGGGAGCCAGAGAAACCGGAGCGCUAGCUUCGGUGGAGGCGCCGGUGGGAUACCACCCUGGCUGUACGGACAUUCUAACCCAGGGCCGUGAUCCGGUCCGGAGACAGUGUCAGGUGGGCAGUUUGACUGGGGCGGUCGCCUCCCAAAAGGUAACGGAGGCGCCCAAAGGUUCCCUCAGAAUGGUUGGAAAUCAUUCGCAGAGUGUAAAGGCAGAAGGGAGCUUGACUGCGAGACCUACAAGUCGAGCAGGGACGAAAGUCGGGCUUAGUGAUCCGGCGGUUCCGCAUGGAAGGGCCGUCGCUCAACGGAUAAAAGCUACCCCGGGGAUAACAGGCUUAUCUCCCCCAAGAGUCCACAUCGACGGGGAGGUUUGGCACCUCGAUGUCGGCUCAUCGCAUCCUGGGGCUGUAGUCGGUCCCAAGGGUUGGGCUGUUCGCCCAUUAAAGCGGUACGCGAGCUGGGUUCAGAACGUCGUGAGACAGUUCGGUCCCUAUCCGUCGUGGGCGCUGGAAAUUUGAGAGGAGCUGUCCCUAGUACGAGAGGACCGGGAUGGACACACCGCUGGUGUACCAGUUGUUCCGCCAGGAGCACAGCUGGGUAGCUACGUGUGGAAGGGAUAAGUGCUGAAAGCAUCUAAGCAUGAAGCCCCCCUCAAGAUGAGAUUUCCCAUCACUUCGAGUGAGUAAGAUCCCUCAGAGACGAUGAGGUGGAUAGGCCCGAGGUGGAAGCGUGGUGACACGUGGAGCUGACGGGUACUAAUCGAUCGAGGACUUA